Molecule: ribosomal RNA, 531 nt
Filed under: Pandoraea sp. enrichment culture
Lineage: Bacteria; Pseudomonadati; Pseudomonadota; Betaproteobacteria; Burkholderiales; Burkholderiaceae
Description: bacterial SSU rRNA
Rfam family: Bacterial small subunit ribosomal RNA
Source: RNAcentral
UGGGGAAUUUUGGACAAUGGGGGCAACCCUGAUCCAGCCAUUCCGCGUGAGUGAAGAAGGCCUUCGGGUUGUAAAGCUCUUUCGGCAGGAACGAAACGGCGAGCUCUAACAUAGCUCGCUAAUGACGGUACCUGAAGAAGAAGCACCGGCUAACUACGUGCCAGCAGCCGCGGUAAUACGUAGGGUGCGAGCGUUAAUCGGAAUUACUGGGCGUAAAGCGUGCGCAGGCGGUUGUGUAAGACAGGUGUGAAAUCCCCGGGCUUAACCUGGGAACUGCGCUUGUGACUGCACGACUAGAGUAUGGCAGAGGGGGGUGGAAUUCCACGUGUAGCAGUGAAAUGCGUAGAGAUGUGGAGGAACACCGAUGGCGAAGGCAGCCCCCUGGGCCAAUACUGACGCUCAUGCACGAAAGCGUGGGGAGCAAACAGGAUUAGAUACCCUGGUAGUCCACGCCCUAAACGAUGUCGACUAGGUGUUCGGUGAGGAGACUCAUUGAGUACCGCAGCUAACGCGUGAAGUCGACCGCCUGGA